This 497-nucleotide ribosomal RNA is filed under the name uncultured bacterium. RNAcentral describes it as "partial 16S ribosomal RNA". It matches the Rfam family "Bacterial small subunit ribosomal RNA", at positions 28 to 507 of the family's 1533-position model. The record is from RNAcentral.
GAUGAACGCUGGCGGCGUUCCUAAUACAUGCAAGUCGAGCGAACAGACGAGGAGCUUGCUCCUCUGACGUUAGCGGCGGACGGGUGAGUAACACGUGGAUAACCUACCUAUAAGACUGGGAUAACUUCGGGAAACCGGAGCUAAUACCGGAUAAUAUAUUGAACCGCAUGGUUCAAUAGUGAAAGACGGUUUUGCUGUCACUUAUAGAUGGAUCCGCGCCGCAUUAGCUAGUUGGUAAGGUAACGGCAUACCAAGGCGACGAUGCGUAGCCGACCUGAGAGGGUGAUCGGCCACACUGGAACUGAGACACGGUCCAGACUCCUACGGGAGGCAGCAGUAGGGAAUCUUCCGCAAUGGGCGAAAGCUUGACGGAGCAACGCCGCGUGAGUGAUGAAGGUCUUCGGAUCGUAAAACUCUGUUAUUAGGGAAGAACAAAUGUGUAAGUAACUAUGCACGUCUUGACGGUACCUAAUCAGAAAGCCACGGCUAACUACGUG